RNAcentral lists this long non-coding RNA (398 nucleotides) under Capsicum annuum. RNAcentral's name for it is "long non-coding RNA (CANN_LNC013582)". The record is from RNAcentral. Lineage: Eukaryota; Viridiplantae; Streptophyta; Magnoliopsida; Solanales; Solanaceae.
CGACAUUUAACAAAACAAUGACAUUUUAUAGUAAAUGACAAAAAAAUGAUAUUUAUACUGAAUGUGACAAAAACAAUAGCAUUUUAUACUAAAUGUCGUAAAACCAAUGGCAUUCUAUUCUAAAUGUCGUAAAACAACAUUAUUUGAUGCGUAAUAUCAAAUUUUUGUAUAUUUUGUAUUUAAUAAUAUCAAUUUAUUACUCGAUAUAUCGGUAUUUGCAAUGAUGGUUUAUCACUAUCCAAUUUCUGGAGUCAUGAUAGCAUCUACUAUAAUCCACCAGUAGGUAAGCCAAACUGUAUCUCGAAACAAAAAAGAAACGGAUUAACCGGCGGAAGACAUGAAAAUAAAAACUAAAGGCAUUCAAACAAGUUUUUAUAGGCAUUCAAACAAAAGACGAA